AUUGAACGCUGGCGGCAGGCCUAACACAUGCAAGUCGAACGAGUGGCGGACGGGUGAGUAAUGUCUGGGAAACUGCCCGAUGGAGGGGGAUAACUACUGGAAACGGUAGCUAAUACCGCAUACCAUCGGAGGUGCCCAGAUGGGAUUAGCUAGAAGUUGGGGUAAAGGCUCACCUAGGCGACAAUCCAUAUAUGGUCUGAGAGGAUGACCAGCCACCCUGGAACUGAGACACGGUCCAGACUCCUACGGGAGGCAGCAGUGGGGAAUAUUGCACAAGGGGCGCAAGCCUGAUGCAGCCAUGCCGCGUGUAUGAAGAAGGCCUUCGGGUUGUAAAGUACUUUCAGCGGGGAGGCGUUACCCGCAGAAGAAGCACCGGCUAACUCCGUGCCAGCAGCCGCGGUAAUAC
Molecule: ribosomal RNA, 406 nt
Filed under: uncultured bacterium
Lineage: Bacteria
Description: partial 16S ribosomal RNA
Rfam family: Bacterial small subunit ribosomal RNA
Source: RNAcentral